GACGAACGCUGGCGGCGUGCUUAACACAUGCAAGUCGAACGGAAAGGCCCCUUCGGGGGUACUCGAGUGGCGAACGGGUGAGUAACACGUGAGUAACCUGCCCUUGACUUCGGGAUAACUUCAGGAAACUGGGGCUAAUACCGGAUAGGAAUCCUUGCUGCAUGGUGGGGGUUGGAAAGCUUCGGCGGUUUUGGAUGGACUCGCGGCUUAUCAGCUUGUUGGUGGGGUAGUGGCUUACCAAGGCUUUGACGGGUAGCCGGCCUGAGAGGGCGACCGGCCACAUUGGGACUGAGAUACGGCCCAGACUCCUACGGGAGGCAGCAGUGGGGAAUAUUGCACAAUGGGCGGAAGCCUGAUGCAGCAACGCCGCGUGCGGGAUGACGGCCUUCGGGUUGUAAACCGCUUUCAGCAGGGGCGAAGCUUGUGGUGACGGCACCUGCAGAAGAAGCACCGGCUAACUACGUG
RNAcentral lists this ribosomal RNA (465 nucleotides) under uncultured bacterium. Its description in RNAcentral is "partial 16S ribosomal RNA". It matches the Rfam family "Bacterial small subunit ribosomal RNA", at positions 28 to 507 of the family's 1533-position model. The record is from RNAcentral.